This 164-nucleotide ribosomal RNA is filed under the name Ipomoea batatas (sweet potato). Its description in RNAcentral is "5.8S ribosomal RNA". It matches the Rfam family "5.8S ribosomal RNA". Rfam says of the family: 5.8S ribosomal RNA (5.8S rRNA) is a component of the large subunit of the eukaryotic ribosome. It is transcribed by RNA polymerase I as part of the 45S precursor that also contains 18S and 28S rRNA. The record is from RNAcentral. Lineage: Eukaryota; Viridiplantae; Streptophyta; Magnoliopsida; Solanales; Convolvulaceae.
AAAUACGACUCUCGGCAACGGAUAUCUCGGCUCUCGCAUCGAUGAAGAACGUAGCGAAAUGCGAUACUUGGUGUGAAUUGCAGAAUCCCGUGAACCAUCGAGUCUUUGAACGCAAGUUGCGCCCGAACCCGUCAGGCCGAGGGCACGUCUGCCUGGGCGUCACG